GAUGGCGGCCAUAGGCGCCAGGGUCCACCGGAACCCGUUCCGAUCUCCGAAGUUAAGGCUGGCGCCGUUGCCGGAGAUGUGCGCUGCGCGAGCGCGUGACAGGCCGGCAAGCUGCCACAU
This 120-nucleotide ribosomal RNA is filed under the name Candidatus Thorarchaeota archaeon. The record is from RNAcentral. Lineage: Archaea; Promethearchaeati; Candidatus Thorarchaeota.